Molecule: ribosomal RNA, 767 nt
Filed under: uncultured Clostridia bacterium
Lineage: Bacteria; Bacillati; Bacillota; Clostridia
Description: bacterial SSU rRNA
Rfam family: Bacterial small subunit ribosomal RNA
Source: RNAcentral
GGCGGACGGGUGAGUAACGCGUGGGUAACCUGCCCUAUACACAUGGAUAACAUACUGAAAAGUUUACUAAUACAUGAUAAUAUAUAUUUACGGCAUCGUAGAUAUAUCAAAGUGUUAGCGGUAUAGGAUGGACCCGCGUCUGAUUAGCUAGUUGGUGAGAUAACUGCCCACCAAGGCGACGAUCAGUAGCCGACCUGAGAGGGUGAUCGGCCACAUUGGAACUGAGACACGGUCCAAACUCCUACGGGAGGCAGCAGUGGGGAAUAUUGCACAAUGGGCGCAAGCCUGAUGCAGCAACGCCGCGUGAACGAUGAAGGUCUUCGGAUCGUAAAGUUCUGUUGCAGGGGAAGAUAAUGACGGUACCCUGUGAGGAAGCCCCGGCUAACUACGUGCCAGCAGCCGCGGUAAUACGUAGGGGGCUAGCGUUAUCCGGACUUACUGGGCGUAAAGGGUGCGUAGGUGGUCUUUCAAGUCGGUGGUUAAAGGCUACGGCUCAACCGUAGUUAGCCUCCGAAACUGGAAGACUUGAGUGCAGGAGAGGAAAGUGGAAUUCCCAGUGUAGCGGUGAAAUGCGUAGAUAUUGGGAGGAACACCAGUAGCGAAGGCGGCUUUCUGGACUGCAACUGACACUGAGGCACGAAAGCGUGGGUAGCAAACAGGAUUAGAUACCCUGGUAGUCCACGCUGUAAACGAUGAGUACUAGGUGUCGGGGGUUACCCCCCUCGGUGCCGCAGCUAACGCAUUAAGUACUCCGCCUGGGGAGUACG